UGAGCUGCGUGGGUUUGUGCCUCGGUGCCUGUGGUUCGGAGCCUUGUGCUGGCACCGGGAGCACCGGGUUGGCUACGUUGACACUCUUGGCGUUGGGUGGGCGGCAACUUGGGGGUCACAUGAGCCAGUGGCAUCAUGCCCGUGGGCGCUGUGGUCAGGGUCGCGGCUUUUCCGGACGUUCAUCGGCCAAGAGGAAGGGCGGAAAGCAAAUCCCGGAAAGGUGGAAAGACUAUCUGCCAGUUGGACAGCAGAUGCCUGGGACUCGUUUCAUUGCUUUCAAAGUUCCUUUAAAAAUGACAUUUGAAAAGAAUCUUGCUCCAGAAGAAUGUUUUUCCCCCUUGGAUCUUUUUUAACAAACUCCAAGAACAGAAUGAUGAACUUGGGCUGAUUAUUGACUUAACAUAUACUCGCCGCUAUUAUAAGCCAGAGGUAAAUGGAACCCAUAAUUGAAAAUGACUUUCUCCCUGAUACUGUAAUAAUUCAUAGUAAUCCAGUACUUAUCAUCGUAUGCUAAGGUGAAUCCUGGCCUUCUUUCAUGGGUUCAGAAAGGGAAGCUAGUGGUUUCCUUAAAUACACAUUUCUAAUUGCUGUUUCAAAACGAGAUUUAAGAUAUGAAUUGAACUAUAGUAUCUGGCAGUAGGCUCUAGAUAUGCUUAAGAAAUUCUAUAAGCUUCCAUGUUCUAUAUUUUGAAAAUGAAGUAAACUUUUAGUAACAAUAGUAGUAGCCUAAAAGGAAAGAAAGGUAUGUCCAUUAUGUCUUUAGCACUUAUUUUAAGCAGUUGCCUGAGCAUGUUUAAGCAUCACGGUAAAAGACAGUUGUUCUCUAAGUUUUAUGCUUUCUUUUCCUAAUACCUUCUGAUAUAAUACAGAAACCCAUAUAUUCUCUUGGCCCAUGUAGGACAUACUAGUGCAAAAGAAUUAUCCUUCUGAUCUGUUCCAUGGCCUUGGAAGACAGUAACACCUAAUGUUUGUUAAUAUUUGUAUAGCAGUUUGCCAUCUACAAAGUUCUUUCAUAUCCAUUGACUUAGUUAAUCUUCACAAGAAUCCUUUGCUGCUAAAGUGGAAGUAGUACUGAUAUCUCCUACUGAGUGCUUACUCUGCACUAAGCUGAGAGGAUAGACAACUACAAUUACUAAUC
Molecule: non-coding RNA, 1138 nt
Organism: Kogia breviceps (pygmy sperm whale)
Lineage: Eukaryota; Metazoa; Chordata; Mammalia; Artiodactyla; Physeteridae
Source: RefSeq, a predicted model, not a curated record